This 35-nucleotide transfer RNA is filed under the name Monophyllaea elongata. RNAcentral describes it as "partial transfer RNA-Phe". The record is from RNAcentral. Lineage: Eukaryota; Viridiplantae; Streptophyta; Magnoliopsida; Lamiales; Gesneriaceae.
UGGCCGGGAUAGCUCAGCUGGUAGAGCAGAGGACU